Molecule: ribosomal RNA, 375 nt
Filed under: Scotophilus kuhlii (Lesser asiatic yellow house bat)
Lineage: Eukaryota; Metazoa; Chordata; Mammalia; Chiroptera; Vespertilionidae
Description: partial 12S ribosomal RNA
Rfam family: Bacterial small subunit ribosomal RNA
Source: RNAcentral
UGCCUAGCCUUAAACAUAAAUUAUUAUAAACAAAAUCACUCGCCAGAGAACUACUAGCAACAGCUAAAAACUCAAAGGACUUGGCGGUGCCCCACAUCCUUCUAGAGGAGCCUGUUCUAUAAUCGAUAAACCCCGCUACACCCGACCAAUCCUUGCUAAAUCAGCCUAUAUACCGCCAUCUUCAGCAAACCCUAAAAAGGAGUUACAGUAAGCAUAAGUAUUAACAUAAAAAAGUUAGGUCAAGGUGUAGCUCAGGGGUUGGAAAGAAAUGGGCUACAUUUUCCCACUGAGGAAAAUAUACGAAAGUUUAUGUGAAAACCACAAACUAAAGGUGGAUUUAGUAGUAAAUUAAGAAUAGAGUGCUUAGUUGAAUUU